This 481-nucleotide long non-coding RNA is filed under the name Daucus carota (carrot). RNAcentral's name for it is "long non-coding RNA (DCAR_LNC006267)". The record is from RNAcentral. Lineage: Eukaryota; Viridiplantae; Streptophyta; Magnoliopsida; Apiales; Apiaceae.
GGCAAAAUGGGUAUAUAUAGAGGAGGUGAAGGUGGUGAGGGAGGCGACAGUUUAGGAGGAGGUGAUAGUAAUGGUGGUAUUGGAGGAGGUCGCAGCAAAGGGGGUAAAUAUAGAGGAGGUGAAGGUGGUGGUGAUAGCGGGGAAAUUGACCGUUGAGGAGCGGGAGGUGAUAAUAAUGGUGGUACUAAAAAGGGUGAUGGCAAAGGGGUUAAAUAUAAAGGAGGUGAAGGUGGUGACAGUAAGGGAGGCGACAGUUUAGGAGGAGUGGGAGGUAAUAGUAAUGGUGGUAUUGGAGGAGGUCGCAACAAAGGGGGUAAAUAUGGAGGAGGUGAAGGUGGUGGUGAUAGCGGGGAAAAUGACCGUCGAGGAGCGGGAGGUGAUAAUAAUGGUGGUACUGAAAAGGGUGAUGGCAAAGGGGUUAAAUAUAAAGGAGGUGAAGGUGGUAACAGUAAGGGAGGCGACAGUUUAGGAGGAGUGGGAG